UACGUAGGGUGCAAGCGUUAAUCGGAAUUACUGGGCGUAAAGCGUGCGCAGGCGGUGAUGUAAGACAGGUGUGAAAUCCCCGGGCUUAACCUGGGAACUGCAUUUGUGACUGCAAGGCUAGAGUUUGGCAGAGGGGGGGUAGAAUUCCACGUGUAGCAGUGAAAUGCGUAGAUAUGUGGAGGAAUACCGAUGGCGAAGGCAGCCCCCUGGGUCAAGACUGACGCUCAUGCACGAAAGCGUGGGGAGCAAACAGG
RNAcentral lists this ribosomal RNA (254 nucleotides) under uncultured bacterium. Its description in RNAcentral is "partial 16S ribosomal RNA". It matches the Rfam family "Bacterial small subunit ribosomal RNA", at positions 524 to 776 of the family's 1533-position model. The record is from RNAcentral.